RNAcentral lists this ribosomal RNA (1473 nucleotides) under metagenome. Its description in RNAcentral is "bacterial SSU rRNA". It matches the Rfam family "Bacterial small subunit ribosomal RNA". The record is from RNAcentral.
AGAGUUUGAUCAUGGCUCAGGACGAACGCUGGCGGCGUGCCUAACACAUGCAAGUCGAACGGACGAGGCCCCUUCGGGGACCGAGUUAGUGGCGGACGGGUGAGUAACGCGUGAGCAACCUGCCCUUCAGAGGGGGACAACAGUUGGAAACGACUGCUAAUACCGCAUGAUGCAGCGAGAUCGCAUGGUCUUGCUGUCAAAGAUUUAUCGCUGAAAGAUGGGCUCGCGUCUGAUUAGCUAGUUGGAGGGGUAACGGCCCACCAAGGCGACGAUCAGUAGCCGGACUGAGAGGUUGAACGGCCACAUUGGGACUGAGAUACGGCCCAGACUCCUACGGGAGGCAGCAGUGGGGAAUAUUGGGCAAUGGGGGAAACCCUGACCCAGCAACGCCGCGUGAAGGAAGAAGGCUUUCGGGUUGUAAACUUCUUUUACCAGGGACGAAGAACGUGACGGUACCUGGAGAAAAAGCCACGGCUAACUACGUGCCAGCAGCCGCGGUAAUACGUAGGUGGCAAGCGUUGUCCGGAUUUACUGGGUGUAAAGGGCGUGUAGGCGGAGCUGCAAGUCAGAUGUGAAAUCUGGGGGCUUAACCCUCAAACUGCAUUUGAAACUGUAGCCCUUGAGUAUCGGAGAGGCAGGCGGAAUUCCUAGUGUAGCGGUGAAAUGCGUAGAUAUUAGGAAGAACACCAGUGGCGAAGGCGGCCUGCUGGACGACAACUGACGCUGAGGCGCGAAAGCGUGGGGAGCAAACAGGAUUAGAUACCCUGGUAGUCCACGCUGUAAACGAUGAAUACUAGGUGUAGGGGACUGACCCCCUCCGUGCCGGAGUUAACACAAUAAGUAUUCCACCUGGGGAGUACGACCGCAAGGUUGAAACUCAAAGGAAUUGACGGGGGCCCGCACAAGCAGUGGAUUAUGUGGUUUAAUUCGACGCAACGCGAAGAACCUUACCGGGAUUUGACAUCCUGCUAACGAAGCAGAGAUGCAUUAGGUGCCCUUCGGGGAAAGUAGAGACAGGUGGUGCAUGGUUGUCGUCAGCUCGUGUCGUGAGAUGUUGGGUUAAGUCCCGCAACGAGCGCAACCCCUAUUGUUAGUUGCUACGCAAGAGCACUCUAGCGAGACUGCCGUUGACAAAACGGAGGAAGGCGGGGACGACGUCAAAUCAUCAUGCCCCUUAUGUCCCGGGCUACACACGUAAUACAAUGGCGGUCAACAAAGGGAAGCAAAGCCGCGAGGCAGAGCAAACCCCCAAAAGCCGUCUCAGUUCGGAUUGCAGGCUGCAACUUGCCUGCAUGAAGCUGGAAUUGCUAGUAAUCGUGGAUCAGAAUGCCACGGUGAAUACGUUCCCGGGCCUUGUACACACCGCCUGUCACACCAUGAGAGUCGGGAACACCCGAAGUCCGUAGUCUAACCCGCAAGGGAGGGCGCGGCCGAAGGUGGGUCUGAUAAUUGGGGUGAAGUCGUAACAAGGUA